RNAcentral lists this transfer RNA (88 nucleotides) under Capsicum annuum. It matches the Rfam family "tRNA". From Rfam's summary of the family: Transfer RNA (tRNA) molecules are approximately 80 nucleotides in length. Their secondary structure includes four short double-helical elements and three loops (D, anti-codon, and T loops). Lineage: Eukaryota; Viridiplantae; Streptophyta; Magnoliopsida; Solanales; Solanaceae. The record is from Rfam by way of RNAcentral.
GGAGGUAUGGCUGAGUGGAUUAAGGCAUUGGUUUGCUAAAUUGACAUAUAAUAAGAUUGUAUCAUAGGUUUGAAUCCCAUUUCCUCUG